Molecule: ribosomal RNA, 402 nt
Filed under: uncultured bacterium
Lineage: Bacteria
Description: bacterial SSU rRNA
Rfam family: Bacterial small subunit ribosomal RNA
Source: RNAcentral
AUUGAACGCUGGCGGAAUGCUUUACACAUGCAAGUCGAACGGCAGCACGGGGCAACCUGGUGGCGAGUGGCGAACGGGUGAGUAAUACAUCGGAACGUGCCCAAUCGUGGGGGAUAACGUAGCGAAAGUUACGCUAAUACCGCAUACGAUCUACGGAUGAAAGCGGGGGAUCGCAAGACCUCGCGCGAAUGGAGCGGCCGAUGUCAGAUUAGGUAGUUGGUGGGGUAAAGGCUCACCAAGCCAACGAUCUGUAGCUGGUCUGAGAGGACGACCAGCCACACUGGAACUGAGACACGGUCCAGACUCCUACGGGAGGCAGCAGUGGGGAAUUUUGGACAAUGGGCGCAAGCCUGAUCCAGCCAUUCCGCGUGCAGGAUGAAGGCCUCGGUGUAACUGCUUUGU